UACGAAGGGAGCUAGCGUUGUUCGGAAUCACUGGGCGUAAAGCGCACGUAGGCGGACGUGUCAGUCAGGGGUGAAAUCCCGGAGCUCAACUUCGGAACUGCCUUUGAUACAGCACGUCUUGAGUCCGGAAGAGGUGGGUGGAAUUCCUAGUAUAGAGGUGAAAUUCGUAGAUAUUAGGAAGAACACCGGUGGCGAAGGCGGCCAUCUGGCUCGGUACUGACGCUCAGGCGCGAAAGCGUGGGGAGCAAACAGG
This 253-nucleotide ribosomal RNA is filed under the name uncultured bacterium. RNAcentral's name for it is "partial 16S ribosomal RNA". It matches the Rfam family "Bacterial small subunit ribosomal RNA", at positions 524 to 776 of the family's 1533-position model. The record is from RNAcentral.